RNAcentral lists this long non-coding RNA (3917 nucleotides) under Pongo abelii (Sumatran orangutan). RNAcentral's name for it is "lincRNA". The record is from RNAcentral. Lineage: Eukaryota; Metazoa; Chordata; Mammalia; Primates; Hominidae.
GUUCCUAAGUACUCCACUGGCUUACCAAGUAUAGGAUUACCCUUUGAUUACUUUAUCUGGCUACCAGGACAGAGAGAUUCUUGGGAGCCAACCAGCCAUCAGGUCAACUAUUUUGCUACAGAUAUGACUUUCCGGGUUUAGUCCCCUGUACUUUCAGGUCUUCAGCCUCAAUUUGACUUCCUGGCUUGUUCAGUGAGGAUUUUGGAGUUAUGUCAGAACAGUGGUUGGUAGGAUGGCAGAGACAUGGACUUCAGAGAGUUCUUGGUAGAAGACUCAAAGAGCCACCUGUCAUGAGACAUCCCACUUCUUUCCCCAGGUUACUUCCAAGACUGAGCAGCCAGGUUUUUGGUAGGUGAGAACAAAUGUUUCUUCCUGAAGCCCUGGGGCUUCAGGUAGGAAGAAGGACUGCUAUACUUGUUCUCACCCUUGGCUUCUGGCUGCUCCAGUUAAACAUGGUUCCCAUUGAUACAGACAUUAGAGUGGGAAAGGACUUCGCUCAUAGAGCGAAGACCCCCAAGAAAGGAAAGUCCUUCCAUUUUGGGAAGGGUAACAUUGAUUUCGUUUAGCUGCUUAAGGUAUGUACUUGCUGUUAUCUUGUGAGACAUGACAUCUGAAGCUGAAGAGGAGUCCCUCUCGUUGUCAUUGUCCCACUGGGACUGAAAGUCUCCCAGUUGAGGCAGCACUUUAGCUUUGAAGUCUGCAGGGCAAUCAUGGAUCAGGAAAUUUCUGCAAAUUAGACUUGGAAAACAAGGUCUUGAUCCUUCUUGUCUUUGGACGAAGACUAAUCGUCACUUUUGACUGAAGGUGUAGUGCUGGAGACUAUGGUGGAGGCAGCAUCUGAUGCACUAUCCAUAUUCUUCCCCUUGAUCUUGUCUUUAAGUUUUCCAAAUGGAUUCCGAGGCUUGUCUUUGAUGAAAAGGUCAAACAUACUGGCAGUCAUGUUGUUUCUCAUAAACUGGAUGUCAACCUCAAUUUCUCCUCUUUAUCCUUCUCUCCUGGUUUGGAUUUCAAGGUAUACCACUGUAUCUUCCUGCUCCCCUAGUCUGGGUGCAGGUCCUGCAGGUACACCUCGGCGAAGCCCAAGUACAGUAGCAGCAGAGCAGCAGCAGCUCAAAGGUGGCCUCCUCCUCUGACACUGAGGUGGCAUACUUCUCCUUACCCACCUGAAUCACCGAGUACAUGUUGCUUGUACCCUCAGGCCCUUGGUUCUUGGCCCCUGGCCCUAUGCCUGCAACACUGUCAUCUGCACAUGGAUUGGGAACCACAUAGGCCCUGGACCUGCUAAGGCCAUUAAGGACAGGAUGAUGAUGCCUCGGCUGACUGACGUGAGAAGAUUGCCAUGACCCACAGCCUCUACUGCUGUCCUACCAAUAGAAUUCAUAAUGUUGUGCAGGCGUUACCACUACCUAGUUCCAGAACAUUGCCAUCACCCCCAAAAGAAAUCUUGCAUUCAUUAAGCAGUCACCCCUAUUUUCCCCCAUCCCUGUCAACCACUGAUUUAUGUUCUGUCUCUAUGGAUUCCCCUGUUCCGGAUAAUUCAUGUAAAUGGAAUAAUACAAUAGAUGCCUUUUAUCAUGGGUUUCUUUCACUUAGGAUGUUUUGUAGGGUAAUCCAUAUAGCAUGUAUCAGGACUUCUUUUUUUUUUUUUUUUUUUUUUUUGAGAUGGAGUUUCAUUCUUCUUGCCCAGGCUGGAGUGCAGUGGUGCAGUCUCAGCUCACUGCAACCCUUGCCUCCUGGGUUCAAGCGAUUCUCCUGUCUUGGCUUCCCAAGUAGCCAGGAUUACAGGUGCCUGGCACCAUGCCCGGCUAAUUUUUUUGUAUUUUUAGUAGAGACAGGGUUUCACCAUGUUGGCCAGGCUGGUCUCAAACUCCUGACCUCAGGUGAUCCACCUGCCUCAGCCUCCCAAAGUGCUGGGAUUACAGGCGUGAGCCACCAUGCCCAGCCUUCAUUCAUUUUCAUGGAGAAAAAUAUUUCAUUGUAUGAGUAUACCACAUUUUGUUUAUCCAUUUAUCCAUUGAUUGGUUGUUUCUACUUUUUUUUUUUUAGCUACUAUGAAUAAUAUUGCUGUGAACAUUUGUGUACAAGGUUUUAGUGGACACAAGUUUUUAUUUUUCUUGGGUAUAUAUCUAGGAGUGGAAUUGCUGGGUCAUAUUGUAAUUCUGUUCAACUUUUUGAAGAACUUCCCAACUGUUCUCCAUGGUGGCUGUGCCAUUGUAUAUUCCUACCAUCAAUGUAUGAAGUUACAAAUUUCUCCACAUCCUGAGAACCCUUUAUUAUUUUCUGUUUUUCUUUUUGAUUAUAGCCAUCCUCCUAGUAGGUGUAAAGUGGUAUCUCAUUGUGAUUUUAUUUUGCAUUUCCCUAAAUGAUUAAUGAUAUUGAGCAUCUUUUCAUAUGCUUCUUGGCCAUUAGUAUAUCUUCUUUGAAGAAAUGUCUAUUCAAGUCUUUGGCAGUUUCUAAAUGAGUUAUUGUAUUUUUGUUGUUAGGUUGUAAGAGUUAUAAUCUGGAUAACAGAUCCUUAUUAGAUAUGUAAUUUGCACAUAUUUUCUCCCAUUUUGUGGGUUGUCUUUUGUCUUUUUACUUUAUUUUUUAUUGCUUGUGUUUUGGUAUCAUUAUUGAUAAUUCAUUGUUAAAUUAAAGGUCAUGAAGAGUUACUCUUACUUUUUCUUCUAUAAUUUUUAGUUUUAGCUCUUGUAUUCAUGUCUGUAAUCAAUUGAAGUUAAUUUUUAAUAUAGUGUGUGUUAGGAGUCCAGCUUCAUUGUUUUACACGUAUCUAUGCAAUUGACCCAAAGUGAUUUGUUGAAAAAUAUUAUUUUCUGAUGGUAUGGUCCUGACACCCUUGUAGAAAUUCAAUUGAAGAUAUAUGUAUCAGUUUAUUUCUGCAGUCUCAAUUCUAUUCUAUUGGUCUAAAUGUUUAUCUUUGUGCCAGUACCAGCCUGCUUUGAUUAUUUUAGUUUUGUAAUAAAAUAGACAAACAUUUGGCAGAUUCAUCAAGACAAAAAGAAAAGUAUAUAGAAAUAAUAUUAUGAAAGAAAAGGGGGAGCAUAUUGAAAAACACCAUAAAGAUUAAAAAGAUUAAGGGACAGUGUUAACAAUUUAUGCCAAUAGGAUUUGAAAGUUUAGAGAAAAUAGACAAAUUCCUAGCAAAAUAUAAAUUAUCAAAACCUACUCAAGAAAAAAUAGAAAUCUUAUAUAGUCACAAGGUAUUAAAUAUUCAAUUCUUCCUGGAGACCCAAAUACAUGCUUUCUACCAGUAACUCACUGUAAAUAAAAAGAAAGGGAUAAUAUAUUGUGCAAACUCUAGUCAAAAAAAAGUUGGAAUGACAAUAUUAAUAUAAACAAAAGUGGACUUCAGAAGAAGUAAUAUUAUCAGAGAGAAAGAGGGCACUGCUUGGUGAAUUGCCCUCUGAUAAAGACAUAACAAUACCAGAAGUAAAAAUUGACAGAACUGCAAGGGGAAAUUGACAAUUCCACAAUUAUAUUUGGGAUUUCAAUGCUUUACUCUUAAUAAUUAAUAAAAAAUUAGCUAAAAAAUUAAUUUUAGCUAAAUAAAUUAGCUAAAAAGUUAAUAAGGAUGGAUCUGAACAACACUAGAAUAAACUUGUCCUAAUGGACAUUUAUAGACCACUAUAACCAAAAGUGGUAGAAUUCACAAUUUUUGCAAGUACACAUGGAAUGUUCACCAAAAUAAACCAUAUCCUGAUUUAUAAAAUAAACUAACAAACUGACUUCUCUCACUUAGCAAUAUGAAUUUAAAUUUCCCCCAUAUCUCUUCAUGGCUUUAUACCUCAUUUCCUUUUAUUGCUGAAUAAUGUUUCAUUUUAUGGAUGGGCCAUAAAAUGUUUAUCUAUGCACCUAUUGAGGGACAUCUUGGUUGCUUCCCAAUUUUGGCCAAUAUUAAUAAAGCUGUUAUAAACAUU